Molecule: long non-coding RNA, 683 nt
Filed under: Numida meleagris (helmeted guineafowl)
Lineage: Eukaryota; Metazoa; Chordata; Aves; Galliformes; Numididae
Description: lncRNA (ENSNMEG00000003288.1)
Source: RNAcentral
UGUUAAUCAAGCGCCUUUAAUUCAAUUCUGUAAGAAACGGGGAGCAGGGUUGCUUUUUGAAAGAUCCAAAGACUCUUCAACGAGAAGCUGAGUGUGUUCCAUAGGACUUGGCAGGUCACACCGGUGACUUGUGGCUGUCAGCCAGCAGCGUGGGCCAAGAGAUGUAGAACACAAGCCAGCAGUGUCAGUCCCCAAAUCAAGGCACACCUGACCAGGCAAGGAUGUAGGAGCAUCGCUGACGGAAAAGCAGGACCCUGAGAACUGUUGUUCCUGGUUUUGGGACACUUGAAAGAGAGCAUCUCCCAGUGGCAAAGAUAAGAGCCCACGUCCUUCCUGCAUCCUGUGGCUGUGCAUUCUCAGCCACAAGAGUCAGCGAGUCCCCUUCCAGAGAGAAGUGAUUUGGACAAUGCAUCUUGGACUGAUGCUGCUAACCCAGCCUUAUCCAAGGGAAGUGGGUGAGGUCAGAAGACAGGGAAAGGACUUGUCUGCUGUCAGGAGGAUGGUGAAAUUGGCACAUCAGAUAGAGCUGAAUGCUGCUGUAAAGAUCAGGAAGGGGCAUUUGGAUUUUCAUUAUGAAAAAGCUGCAAAGGGAAUACAUGGCUGUUCUGAUAUUUUAAGCUAGCAAUGAUGAAGUAAGCAGAAGUGAAAAUAAAAGGAAAGAAGAGGUUUGAGAUGAGAGGAGG